This 74-nucleotide transfer RNA is filed under the name Candidatus Bathyarchaeota archaeon. RNAcentral's name for it is "tRNA-Glu". It matches the Rfam family "tRNA". Rfam says of the family: Transfer RNA (tRNA) molecules are approximately 80 nucleotides in length. Their secondary structure includes four short double-helical elements and three loops (D, anti-codon, and T loops). Further hydrogen bonds mediate the characteristic L-shaped molecular structure. tRNAs have two regions of fundamental functional importance: the anti-codon, which is responsible for specific mRNA codon recognition, and the 3' end, to which the tRNAs corresponding amino acid is attached (by aminoacyl-tRNA synthetases). tRNAs cope with the degeneracy of the genetic code in two manners: having more than one tRNA (with a specific anti-codon) for a particular amino acid; and 'wobble' base-pairing, i.e. permitting non-standard base-pairing at the 3rd anti-codon position. RNAcentral also lists the same sequence under 1 other name. The record is from RNAcentral. Lineage: Archaea; Thermoproteati; Candidatus Bathyarchaeota.
GCUUUGGCAGAAAGUCCGGUCAAGUAUAGGGGCCUCUCGAGCCCCAGACCCGGGUUCAAAUCCCGGCCGGAGCA